Molecule: long non-coding RNA, 641 nt
Organism: Chelonia mydas (Green sea turtle)
Lineage: Eukaryota; Metazoa; Chordata; Testudines; Cheloniidae
Exons: 3
Source: RefSeq, a predicted model, not a curated record
CCAGUGCACUCUCCUGUGAGGUAGGGGCUCAAAUACAAAUCCUUUUUCCACAUCAGACAGACAGGAGGAUUGAACCUGGCUCUUCUAAAUCCCAGCACAACUUGCUGCACUAGCCCUUUAAAUUGGGCAGAGCCAAGCAACUUUAGCCCUAAAGGAGCCAUUUCGUACCUGAAAGAUGCCUCUCUACUUUUCUUGUUUUGGCAGAGCUGCUAUCUGCAGGAUAUAUACACACACUAUGUGUAAACCUUGCAGAAAAACUUGGGACCCACCAAUAGUUGACGCCAUCAACCCUUCUGUAUGAGAAAGCACCUUGCCAGCAGUUUAUAGGUGGGUAAUUUAUGGUCCUUGGACAAGAAAUCCUCUCUUGAUGAGCCUUACUAAUACCACCUUCUCCCAUUUUGGGGAAAAGAUUAUUGAGAGGGUUAUGGCAAAGUAGUUCUGACAAUAUCUGUAUCCCAAAGAUUUUCUAGGUCUUUUAAUCUGAUUUUUGUCCUGGGUGUAAUACAGAUACCAGUUGGCCUAACUGGGCAGUCAUCUUUCCCCACAAGCAGCUGUACCCUUUGCUAAUCUCCCCUUUUGGUUUCCUUUAUAUUAUUACUUUAAUGCACACUUAUAUUUACUUUAAUACUCUCAAGGAUUGA